ACCUGCCAGGCUCAGUUGGAAGAGCAUGUGACUCUUGAUCUCAGGGUCGUGGGUUUGAGUCCCACAAUGGGUG
Molecule: transfer RNA, 73 nt
Filed under: Ursus americanus (American black bear)
Lineage: Eukaryota; Metazoa; Chordata; Mammalia; Carnivora; Ursidae
Also listed under: 2 other names
Rfam family: tRNA
About the family: Transfer RNA (tRNA) molecules are approximately 80 nucleotides in length.
Source: Rfam by way of RNAcentral